GGCAGCAGGCGCGUAAAUUACCCAAUCCUGACACAGGGAGGUAGUGACAAUAAAUAACAAUGCUGGGCUUUUUAAAGUCUGGCAAUUGGAAUGAGAACAAUUUAAAUCCCUUAUCGAGGAUCAAUUGGAGGGCAAGUCUGGUGCCAGCAGCCGCGGUAAUUCCAGCUCCAAUAGCGUAUACUAAAGUUGUUGCAGUUAAAAAGCUCGUAGUUGAAUUUCUGAUAUAAUAGGAUGGGUUUUAUUUUUCAUUAAAUAUUACUUCCAUUAUUUUUAUUAUAUCAUCAUCGAAAAGAUUAUAUUUUGGUCAUUCAUUUGUCUAGUAUAAGAUUUUCGUCAUUUACUGUGAGU
Molecule: ribosomal RNA, 348 nt
Filed under: Paraphysomonas vestita
Lineage: Eukaryota; Chrysophyceae; Chromulinales; Paraphysomonadaceae
Description: SSU rRNA
Rfam family: Eukaryotic small subunit ribosomal RNA
Source: RNAcentral